AUGGAUGCAAAUUCAAGGAGUCAGAAAAGGCAUCCUGCUCAGGUUACCUGCUGUCUUGAAGGCAACACGGCUGCUGCUCCUCAGCGCAGCGACAGGGGUUUCCCCUUAGUCGCUGCUCCCAGCCGAGAAUCCAUCGCUGCCGCAGUGCAGUUUAUGAUGCUUUUUAGUCGUCAGGGGAAGCUGCGACUGCAGAAAUGGUAUGUCCCCCUGUCAGACAAAGAGGAAAAAAAAAGAUCACAAGGGAACUCGUCCAAACCGUCUUGGCUCGGAAGCCUAAAAUGUGCUGCUUUCUCGAGUGGCGAGAUCUGAAGAUUGUUUACAAGAGAUAUGCAAGUCUGUACUUUUGCUGUGCUAUUGAGGAUCAGGACAAUGAACUCAUUACCCUGGAAAUAAUUCAUCGUUACGUGGAACUCCUUGACAAGUACUUUGGCAGUGUGUGUGAACUUGACAUCAUCUUUAAUUUUGAGAAGGCGUAUUUUAUUUUGGAUGAGUUUCUUCUGGGAGGGGAAGUUCAGGAAACGUCCAAGAAAAAUGUCCUGAAAGCCAUCGAGCAAGCGGAUCUCCUGCAGGAGGUUCAGCGAACAAACAAGUCUGUCUUGGAGGAAGUCCAACCUAGAGGGAAGUUGAAUUCACAAGAGAAUCAGAAUUCCGUGGAGCAGGAAGAUGAAGACUAUGUGAUUCUCAAAUUUGAGCCUGUGUUAGAGAGAGAAUCAAGGAAUGCCAGAAGUGGCUAA
This is an RNA transcript of Elephantulus edwardii (Cape elephant shrew), 734 nucleotides long. It is a transcript of the gene named AP-1 complex subunit sigma-2-like, with no coding region annotated. The record is from RefSeq and is a predicted model, not a curated record. Lineage: Eukaryota; Metazoa; Chordata; Mammalia; Macroscelidea; Macroscelididae. The transcript has 4 exons.